Molecule: ribosomal RNA, 440 nt
Filed under: uncultured bacterium
Lineage: Bacteria
Description: partial 16S ribosomal RNA
Rfam family: Bacterial small subunit ribosomal RNA
Source: RNAcentral
CUACGGGGGGCAGCAGUGAGGAAUAUUGCACAAUGGGGGGAACCCUGAUGCAGCAACGCCGCGUGGAGGAUGACGCACUUCGGUGUGUAAACUCCUUUUAUAUGUCAAGAAAAUGACGGUAGCAUAUGAAUAAGCACCGGCUAACUCCGUGCCAGCAGCCGCGGUAAUACGGGAGGGUGCAAGCGUUACUCGGAAUCACUGGGCGUAAAGGACGCGUAGGCGGGUUGGCAAGUCAGGUGUGAAAUCCUACAGCUUAACUGUAGAACUGCACUUGAAACUUCUAAUCUAGAGUAUGGGAGGGGGAGAUGGAAUUAGUGGUGUAGGGGUAAAAUCCGUAGAUAUCACUAGGAAUACCUAAAGCGAAGGCGAUCUCCUGGAACAUUACUGACGCUAAGGCGUGAAAGCGUGGGGAGCAAACAGGAUUAGAUACCCCAGUAGUC